RNAcentral lists this ribosomal RNA (862 nucleotides) under uncultured bacterium. Its description in RNAcentral is "bacterial SSU rRNA". It matches the Rfam family "Bacterial small subunit ribosomal RNA", at positions 61 to 899 of the family's 1533-position model. The record is from RNAcentral.
GUUGAGCGCUGAAGGUUGGUACUUGUACCGACUGGAUGAGCAGCGAACGGGCGAUUACAACGCGUGGGGAAUCUGCCUUUGAGCGGGGGACAACAUUCCGUAACGAAUGCUAAUACCGCAUAACAACUUUAAACACAAGUUUUAAGUUUGAAAGAUGCAAUUGCAUCACUCAAAGAUGAUCCCGCGUUGUAUUAGCUAGUUGGUGAGGUAAAGGCUCACCAAGGCGAUGAUACAUAGCCGACCUGAGAGGGUGAUCGGCCACAUUGGGACUGAGACACGGCCCAAAACUCCUACGGGAGGCAGCAGUAGGGAAUCUUCGGCAAUGGACGAAAGUCUGACCGAGCAACGCCGCGUGAGUGAAGAAGGUUUUCGGAUCGUAAAACUCUGUUGGUAGAGAAGAACGUUGGUGAGAGUGGAAAGCUCAUCAAGUGACGGUAACUACCCAGAAAGGGACGGCUAACUACGUGCCAGCAGCCGCGGUAAUACGUAGGUCCCGAGCGUUGUCCGGAUUUAUUGGGCGUAAAGCGAGCGCAGGUGGUUUAUUAAGUCUGGUGUAAAAGGCAGUGGCUCAACCAUUGUAUGCAUUGGAAACUGGUAGACUUGAGUGCAGGAGAAGAGAGUGGAAUUCCAUGUGUAGCGGUGAAAUGCGUAGAUAUAUGGAGGAACACCGGUGGCGAAAGCGGCUCUCUGGCCUGGUACUGACACUGAAGCUCGAAAGCGUGGGGAACAAAACCAAGAAUAAAUAACCCGGUAAUCCACCCCCUAAACAAUAAAUGGUUGAAGUAAGGAGGUAUUAAGUUUCCGGAUCGCCACCUAAACCAAUAAACACUCCCGCCGGGGGAGACCAACCCCAGGGUUGAAC